GGCAUGCCUAACACAUGCAAGUCGAACGAAGGCUUCGGCCUUAGUGGCNCACGGGUGCGUAACGCGUGGGAACCUGCCCCUCGGUUCGGAAUAACAGUUAGAAAUGACUGCUAAUACCGGAUGAUGACUUCGGUCCAAAGAUUUAUCGCCGAGGGAUGGGCCCGCGUAGGAUUAGCUAGUUGGUGGGGUAAAGGCCUACCAAGGCGACGAUCCUUAGCUGGUCUGAGAGGAUGAUCAGCCACACUGGGACUGAGACACGGCCCAGACUCCUACGGGAGGCAGCAGUGGGGAAUAUUGGACAAUGGGCGAAAGCCUGAUCCAGCAAUGCCGCGUGAGUGAUGAAGGCCUUAGGGUUGUAAAGCUCUUUUACCAGGGAUGAUAAUGACAGUACCUGGAGAAUAAGCUCCGGCUAACUCCGUG
RNAcentral lists this ribosomal RNA (420 nucleotides) under uncultured bacterium. RNAcentral's name for it is "bacterial SSU rRNA". It matches the Rfam family "Bacterial small subunit ribosomal RNA", at positions 41 to 507 of the family's 1533-position model. The record is from RNAcentral.